AGUGAACGCUGGCGGUAGGCCUAACACAUGCAAGUCGAACGGCAGCACAGUAAGAGCUUGCUCUUACGGGUGGCGAGUGGCGGACGGGUGAGGAAUACAUCGGAAUCUACUUUUUCGUGGGGGAUAACGUAGGGAAACUUACGCUAAUACCGCAUACGACCUACGGGUGAAAGCAGGGGAUCUUCGGACCUUGCGCGAUUGAAUGAGCCGAUGUCGGAUUAGCUAGUUGGCGGGGUAAAGGCCCACCAAGGCGACGAUCCGUAGCUGGUCUGAGAGGAUGAUCAGCCACACUGGAACUGAGACACGGUCCAGACUCCUACGGGAGGCAGCAGUGGGGAAUAUUGGACAAUGGGCGAAAGCCUGAUCCAGCCAUACCGCGUGGGUGAAGAAGGCCUUCGGGUUGUAAAGCCCUUUUGUUGGGAAAGAAAAGCAGCGGGUUAAUACCCCGCUGUUCUGACGGUACCCAAAGAAUAAGCACCGGCUAACUUCGUG
RNAcentral lists this ribosomal RNA (492 nucleotides) under uncultured bacterium. Its description in RNAcentral is "partial 16S ribosomal RNA". It matches the Rfam family "Bacterial small subunit ribosomal RNA", at positions 29 to 507 of the family's 1533-position model. The record is from RNAcentral.